AUUCUUCACUGAUGUCUGCAGGACAUUUGAAAAAAUAGUCCCACCUUUUCAGUGGCUGCCAGGGCCCUCCAUGGGAUUACCCAAUGGAUCCUUCUGGUUGGAGUGCAAAGACUACAUAGAAGCUUGCAGGACAGUUGAGGAGAAGACAUGCUCUCUAACUUGUGUCACUAGGCAUCACAUCAGCUCUAGAAACUGCACUACUUCAAUAGCAGGCAGCCUGAAGCAGAUGGACGAGCGGAAACCAUGUCACAAGAAGACAUAA
This 262-nucleotide long non-coding RNA is filed under the name Papio anubis (olive baboon). Its description in RNAcentral is "lncRNA (ENSPANG00000045048.1)". The record is from RNAcentral. Lineage: Eukaryota; Metazoa; Chordata; Mammalia; Primates; Cercopithecidae.